Molecule: ribosomal RNA, 253 nt
Filed under: uncultured bacterium
Lineage: Bacteria
Description: partial 16S ribosomal RNA
Rfam family: Bacterial small subunit ribosomal RNA
Source: RNAcentral
UACGGGGGGGGCAAGCGUUGUUCGGAAUUACUGGGCGUAAAGGGCUCGUAGGUGGCCAACUAAGUCAGACGUGAAAUCCCUCGGCUUAACCGGGGAACUGCGUCUGAUACUGGAUGGCUUGAGUUCGGGAGAGGGAUGCGGAAUUCCAGGUGUAGCGGUGAAAUGCGUAGAUAUCCUAAGGAACACCGGUGGCGAAAGCGGCUCACUGGAUCUCUUCUGACGCUGAGGCACGAAAGCUAGGGUAGCGAACGGG